Molecule: ribosomal RNA, 426 nt
Filed under: uncultured Actinomycetes bacterium
Lineage: Bacteria; Bacillati; Actinomycetota; Actinomycetes
Description: bacterial SSU rRNA
Rfam family: Bacterial small subunit ribosomal RNA
Source: RNAcentral
AACGCGAAGAACCUUACCUGGGCUUGACAUGUGAGUGACAGGUGUGGAAACACACCCUCCCUUCGGGGCACUUUCACAGGUGGUGCAUGGCUGUCGUCAGCUCGUGUCGUGAGAUGUUGGGUUAAGUCCCGCAACGAGCGCAACCCCCGUCGCAUGUUGCCAGCAUUCAGUUGGGGACUCAUGCGAGACUGCCGGUGACAAACCGGAGGAAGGUGGGGAUGACGUCAAGUCCUCAUGCCCCUUAUGUCCAGGGCGACACACGUGCUACAUUGGCGCGUACAGAGGGCUGCGAUACCGCGAGGUGGAGCGAAUCCCUUAAAGCGCGUCUCGGUUCGGAUUGCAGGCUGAAAUUCGCCUGCAUGAAGGCGGAGUUGCUAGUAAUCGCGGAUCAGCACUGCCGCGGUGAAUACGUUCCCGGGCCUUGUA